AUUCAUGUAGAUUAAGAUUAAAAUUGUUAGGCUGUUAACCUUAAGAUGAAUUAUGUUUCCAUGAGUG
This 67-nucleotide transfer RNA is filed under the name Schmidtea mediterranea. Its description in RNAcentral is "tRNA-Asn". Lineage: Eukaryota; Metazoa; Platyhelminthes; Tricladida; Dugesiidae. The record is from RNAcentral.